Molecule: non-coding RNA, 2169 nt
Organism: Peromyscus maniculatus bairdii (prairie deer mouse)
Lineage: Eukaryota; Metazoa; Chordata; Mammalia; Rodentia; Cricetidae
Source: RefSeq, a predicted model, not a curated record
CCCUCCCCAUAGGAAGCGGCUGCCAUGCCUUUCCAUUGAGUUCUUUUGUGAAAAUUAGAUUCUAACUAAGGCUGAAUAUCCUUUGGGAUACAGGCUGCGGGUAGGGUGGGGAGGUGCUCUGUACAAAUGCUCAUGCUCCGAGCCUGGGACUUCUCGUCUUCUCACUCCAUUAAAUCCCUAUUAUAAAAGUUAUCUCCACAAAGCCUAUUAUAGUAUUCUGAGAACAAACUGGACCAUGAAUAACUUAGUUGGAAGUGUAGAUUAUUUUCUACUCGAGGAAACAAAUUUAGACAUGACAACAGAUUAACUAGGAGAAUAGUGAUCAAUCUUAGAUGGAUUCAGAGCUUCCCUCUUAGUCCAGAGCACCCUUGCUUUCCCUCUUAAUGCUCAAGAUGCCCUUCUUUGUCUUAAGCACGUCCCAGUGAUGACACUGUCUGCCAGCACCGUAGAAGUCUAACAGGAGAUGACCUCCUUCGGGCUGUGGAUCUGUAGGCAGACAGAUUGGCCAAGGGAGGGCCUGUACUCAGAUGUGGGGUGAAAUGAUAUAAACAGGAUAAUUAAGUACAAUUAUUAUUUAAAUUUUUGUUUGUUUGUUUGUUUUUUAUGGAGUCCUAGUAUGGUGGUGCACUCCUUGACUCACAGUACUCCAGAGGUGGAGGGCAGGCCGAUCUCAGUGAGCUCAAGGCCAGUCUGGUCUAUGAGGGUCUCACAGUGAACCUGGAGCUCACCCAUUUAGGUUUGACUGAGACCCAAGGAUCUUCUCAUCUCAGCCUCCCAGGCUUGCUCGACUACAGUCGUCUUCUUUGUCACAUGGGUGCUGGAGAUCCGAACUCAGUCCUUCCAGCUUGUGGAGCAAGCGCUGAGCCAUCCCUCUGUUUUCCCAAGCCCUUGGACCUUUUCAGCGUUUAGACUUGGCUAAGAAAAUGUGACAUUGGGCUGAAGAUAUUCAGAGGACGUGAAAGUGGGCGAUCAGGCCCUGGAUCCAAACUCCUGCUGUCUCCCCACAUGCAAAACAAGAACUGAAAAACGUAAAGACUCUCGGGUUGGCGGUCAAGCCUGGGUUCCAUCUCAGCACUGAAACAAUGCUCUGGUGUUCACGGGGGUAUUUGUGCAGCUGUUCCUGAAGUUCUGAAGUCCCUUGCUCUGUUGGUAACCGCGUGCACUCUGUCCCUGUCUCCUGGUUGGCUGUUGUUCCAAAUGUUUUCUCGUCCUUUUGCUCUCUUUCCCUUUCAGGCUCUCCCCUUCUGUCUUCCCUCCUUCCCGUCAUUGCUUCCUUCUCUUUUCUCUGCCCUCUCUUUCCUCCUGUCUUUUUUCUUUCUAAUGAUUCAUUUAUUCUUAUUUUAGGUGCAUACAUUCUUCAUGUACGUCCAUGUGAAAGUGUCAGAUCCCCUGGAGCUGGAGUUACAGACAGUUGUGAACUGCCAUGUGGGUGCUGGGAAUUGAACCCGGGUCCUCUGGAAGAGCAGCCAGUGCUCUUAACUUCUGAGCCAUCUGUCCAGCCAUGUCUUCUCUUUUCAUCACCCUGCCCUCUCUCCUUUGUUUCUCCCUCUCGACCUUCUCUCCUAUGUUUAUUCAUUAUAUUUUAUCUAGCAUCUUUAUCUUAAAACAUAGGACAUAGCCGGGCCGUGGUGGUGCACGCCUUUAGUCCCAGCACUCGGGAGGCAGAGCCAGGUGGAUCUCUGGGAGUUCGAGGCCAGCCUGGGCUACAGAGAGAGAUCCAGGACAGGCACCAAAGCCACACAGAGAAACCCUGUCUUGAAAAACAAAACAAAAACAAAAACCCAUAGGACACAGACACGAGGGGCGCAUCUCUGGUAGAGCACUUGUCUAGCAUGCUGGACCCUGCUUUCUUUAAUCAGAACUUCCUCCCCCAGGGAAGGACAAGAAACAAAGGAAAUCCAGGGCAGCUGGUUCUGGGUCUAGAUAACACAACAAAACCUUCUCUUCGGUUUGUGUUCAUGACGAUCUGAGAACCCUCAGGCGGGCCUUCCCUGGCUUCCAAAAGCCAGUCCUCAGCAGUCGGUCUGUGGCACAAAUCUUGCCAAUUUCCUUCUGACUCCUUUAUAAUCUUCCUAAGUUAAUUUUAGGAAUCAAAUCAGAAAAGCAAGUAAUCGACUUGUUACAUAGCAUUUUUGAGAUAAUGCAAUUACAUUUCUCCUGUAAUCCCUC